GCCAGCCCAAGUCUUCGCCAUCAGUCACCCUGUUUCCACCUUCCUCUGAAGAGCUCGAGACUAACAAGGCCACACUGGUGUGUACGAUCACUGAUUUCUACCCAGGUGUGGUGACAGUGGACUGGAAGGUAGAUGGUACCCCUGUCACUCAGGGUAUGGAGACAACCCAGCCUUCCAAACAGAGCAACAACAAGUACAUGGCUAGCAGCUACCUGACCCUGACAGCAAGAGCAUGGGAAAGGCAUAGCAGUUACAGCUGCCAGGUCACUCAUGAAGGUCACACUGUGGAGAAGAGUUUGUCCCGUGCUGACUGUUCCUAG
Mus musculus (house mouse) is the source of this 320-nucleotide non-coding RNA. NCBI's taxonomy places the organism in Eukaryota, Metazoa, Chordata, Mammalia, Rodentia, Muridae. The record is from the annotation of a RefSeq genome assembly.